Salmo salar (Atlantic salmon) is the source of this 71-nucleotide non-coding RNA. The record is from Rfam. NCBI's taxonomy places the organism in Eukaryota, Metazoa, Chordata, Actinopteri, Salmoniformes, Salmonidae.
UCCCUUGUGGCUCACUUGAUAGAGCAUGGUGCUUGCAAUGCCACGGUUGUGGGUUCAAUUCCCACAGGGAA